This 1207-nucleotide ribosomal RNA is filed under the name Acidiella sp. HYH-4. Its description in RNAcentral is "partial 16S ribosomal RNA". Lineage: Eukaryota; Metazoa; Arthropoda; Insecta; Diptera; Tephritidae. The record is from RNAcentral.
UUGAUUUUUAAUAGAAUUUAUUUAUUAAUUUUUAUUUUUUAUUUUAUAAUUUAUUAAAAAUAAUUAUAUAAUUUUAUGUUUUAGUAAUUUUUAAUGAAAAAAUAAUUUUUAUAAUAGUUAAAUAUGUAUUGUGAAAGAAUAUUGAAAUAAUUUGAAAAAUUUUUAUUAAAAAAGAAAAUUUAAAUUAUUGUACCUUGUGUAUCAGGGUUUAUUAAAAAAUUAAUAAUUAUUUAUUAAUCUCGAUUUUAUAAGAGUUAAUAAUUUAUUAAAGUUAAUGUAUCAAAAUCAUUUUCAAUAAAUUAUUAGAAAUGAAAUGUUAUUCGUUUAUAAAGGUAUCUAGUUUUUUUAGAAAUAAAUUUAAUUUACAAUAUUUUAAUUUUUUAUUUAUUUAUUUAAAUAAAAAAUUUAUUAAAUUGAAUAUUUAAAGGGAUAAGCUUUUAAAUAAAUUAUUAAAAAUUAAUAAUUAUAAAAAAAAAUUGUAUGCUUAGAAUUAGCAAUCGUUUAUAAGUUUGUUAUAAAUUAUUUUAUUUAAUUAUAUUAUUUAUUAGUUUUUUAAAUUUAUAUAAAAAAAAUUUUUUUAAUAUUAUUAUAAAAAGUAAUAAUGAUAAAAUUAGUAUAUUUUUAUUGUUUAUAUAAUUUAAUUAUGAUAAGUUUAUAUAAAGAAUUCGGCAAAUUUUUUACUCGCCUGUUUAACAAAAACAUGUCUUUUUGAGUUAUUUUUAAAGUCUAACCUGCCCACUGAGUUUAUUUAAAUGGCCGCAGUAUUUUAACUGUGCAAAGGUAGCAUAAUCAUUAGUCUUUUAAUUGAAGGCUGGAAUAAACGGUUGGACGAAGUAUAAACUGUUUCAUAUAAAUUUAUAAUAGAAUUUUAUUUUUUAGUUAAAAAGCUAAAAUUUUAUUAAAAGACGAGAAGACCCUAUAAAUCUUUAUAUUUUAUAUUAAUUAAAUUUUAUUGAUAUAUUUUAUUUUUAUAUUAUAACAUAUUUUGUUGGGGAGAUAUUAAAAUUUUAUUAACUUUUAUUUUUAUUUAAUCAUUAAUAUAUGAAUAAUUGAUCCGUUAAUAACGAUUAAAAGAUUAAGUUACUUUAGGGAUAACAGCGUAAUUUUUUUGGAGAGUUCAUAUUGAUAAAAAAGUUUGCGACCUCGAUGUUGGAUUAAGAGAUAUUUUUAGGUGUAGUUGCUUAAAUAUAAAGUCUGUUCGACUUUU